GACCACGUGGCCUAAUGGACAAGGCGUCUGACUUCGGAUCAGAAGAUUGAGAAUUCGAGUCCCUUCUUGGUUG
Molecule: non-coding RNA, 73 nt
Organism: Gasterosteus aculeatus (three-spined stickleback)
Lineage: Eukaryota; Metazoa; Chordata; Actinopteri; Perciformes; Gasterosteidae
Source: Rfam